Molecule: ribosomal RNA, 376 nt
Filed under: uncultured bacterium
Lineage: Bacteria
Also listed under: 1 other name
Description: bacterial SSU rRNA
Rfam family: Bacterial small subunit ribosomal RNA
Source: RNAcentral
UACGUAGGUGGCGAGCGUUGUCCGGAAUUACUGGGCGUAAAGGGCGCGUAGGCGGCCUGUCAAGUCAGAUGUGAAAUCCCCGGGCUUAACCCGGGAACUGCAUUUGAAACUGGCGGGCUUGAGGGCAGGAGAGGAAAGCGGAACUCCCAGUGUAGCGGUGAAAUGCGUAGAUAUUGGGAGGAACACCAGUGGCGAAGGCGGCUUUCUGGACUGUCACUGACGCUGAGGCGCGAAAGCCAGGGGAGCGAACGGGAUUAGAUACCCCGGUAGUCCUGGCUGUAAACGAUGGGUACUAGGUGUUGGGGGUAUCGACCCCUCCAGUGCCGCAGUUAACGCAAUAAGUACCCCGCCUGGGGAGUACGGCCGCAAGGUUGAA